UACAGAGGCCUCGAGCGUUAGGCGGAAUCACUGGGCUUAAAGCGUGUGUAGGCGGACUUCUAAGUGCCUUGUGAAAUCCCACGGCUCACCCGUGGAACGGCUGGGCAUACUGGGAGUCUUGAGCCACCUAGGGGCUGCCGGAACAAAUGGUGGAGCGGUGAAAUGCGUAGAUAUCAUUUGGAACGCCGAAGGUGAAAACAGCUCGCUGGGGCUGCGCUGACGCUGAGACACGAAAGCCAGGGGAGCGAACGGG
This 253-nucleotide ribosomal RNA is filed under the name uncultured bacterium. Its description in RNAcentral is "partial 16S ribosomal RNA". It matches the Rfam family "Bacterial small subunit ribosomal RNA", at positions 524 to 776 of the family's 1533-position model. The record is from RNAcentral.